RNAcentral lists this ribosomal RNA (500 nucleotides) under uncultured bacterium. Its description in RNAcentral is "bacterial SSU rRNA". It matches the Rfam family "Bacterial small subunit ribosomal RNA", at positions 29 to 518 of the family's 1533-position model. The record is from RNAcentral.
AUGAACGCUAGCUACAGGCUUAACACAUGCAAGUCGAGGGGCAGCAUGGUCUUAGCUUGCUAAGACUGAUGGCGACCGGCGCACGGGUGAGUAACGCGUAUCCAACCUGGCCCAUAGUAGGGAACAGCCCGGCGAAAGUCGGAUUAAUGCCCUAUGUUAUCCGUAGACGGCAUCAGAUGCGGAGCAAAGAUUUAUCGCUAUGGGAUGGGGAUGCGUCUGAUUAGGUAGUAGGCGGGGCAACGGCCCACCUAGCCGACGAUCAGUAGGGGUUCUGAGAGGAAGGUCCCCCACAUUGGAACUGAGACACGGUCCAAACUCCUACGGGAGGCAGCGGUGAGGAAUAUUGGUCAAUGGGCGUGAGCCUGAACCAGCCAAGUAGCGUGAGGGAAGACGGCCCUACGGGUUGUAAACCUCUUUUGCCGGGGAAUAAAGUGCGGGACGCGUCCCGUUUUGUAUGUACCCGGAGAAUAAGGACCGGCUAAUUCCGUGCCAGCCGCGGC